RNAcentral lists this ribosomal RNA (785 nucleotides) under Nidula macrocarpa. Its description in RNAcentral is "partial large subunit ribosomal RNA". It matches the Rfam family "Eukaryotic large subunit ribosomal RNA", at positions 90 to 864 of the family's 3401-position model. Lineage: Eukaryota; Fungi; Basidiomycota; Agaricomycetes; Agaricales; Nidulariaceae. The record is from RNAcentral.
CGAGUGAAGCGGGAAAAGCUCAAAUUUAAAAUCUGGUUGUGGCAGUCCGAGUUGUAAUCUAGAGAAGUGCUACCCGCGCUGGACCGUGUACAAGUCUCCUGGAACGGAGCAUCAUAGAGGGUGAGAAUCCCGUCUUUGACACGGACUGCCAGGGCUAUGUGGUGCGCUCUCAACGAGUCGAGUUGUUUGGGAAUGCAGCUCAAAAUGGGUGGUAAAUUCCAUCUAAAGCUAAAUAUUGGCGAGAGACCGAUAGCGAACAAGUACCGUGAGGGAAAGAUGAAAAGAACUUUGGAAAGAGAGUUAAACAGUACGUGAAAUUGCUGAAAGGGAAACGCUUGAAGUCAGUCGCGCUGGCCAGGGAUCAACCUCGCUCUUUUGUGUGGUGCACUUUCUGGUCGGUGGGUCAGCAUCAGUUUUGGUUGCUGGAUAAAGGCCUUGGGAAUGUGGCAUCUUCGGAUGUGUUAUAGCCCUUGGUUGUAUACAGUGGCUGGGAUUGAGGAACUCAGCACGCCGCAAGGCCGGGUAUUAGCCACGUACGUGCUUGGGAUGCUGGCAUAAUGGCUUUAAUCGACCCGUCUUGAAACACGGACCAAGGAGUCUAACAUGCCUGCGAGUAUUUGGGUGGAAAACCCGAGUGCGCAAUGAAAGUGAAAGUUGAGAUCCCUGUCGUGGGGAGCAUCGACGCCCGGACCUGAGGCUUGCUGACGGUUCUGCGGUAGAGCAUGUAUGUUGGGACCCGAAAGAUGGUGAACUAUGCCUGAAUAGGGUGAAGCCAGAGGAAACUC